Molecule: ribosomal RNA, 784 nt
Filed under: uncultured bacterium
Lineage: Bacteria
Description: bacterial SSU rRNA
Rfam family: Bacterial small subunit ribosomal RNA
Source: RNAcentral
AUAGUUUGAUGCUGGCUCAGAACGAACGCUGGCGGCGUGCUUAAUACAUGCAAGUCGAACGAGAAAAUCCGGCUUCGGCUGGAUGAGUAAAGUGGCGAACGGGUGAGUAACACGUGGGCAAUCUGCCCUCAAACCUGGGAUAAUCCUCCGAAAGGGGGUCUAAUACCGGAUAACACCUCGGGAUGGCAUCUUCCUGAGGUCAAAGGCGGGGCAACCUGCCGUUUGAGGAUGAGCCCGCGCCCCAUUAGCUUGUUGGUAGGGUAACGGCCUACCAAGGCUCCGAUGGGUAGCCGGCCUGAGAGGGCGAUCGGCCACACUGGGACUGAGAUACGGCCCAGACUCCUACGGGAGGCAGCAGUAGGGAAUAUUGCGCAAUGGACGAAAGUCUGACGCAGCAACGCCGCGUGGGUGAUGAAGCAUCUUGGUGUGUAAAACCCUGUCAGUGGGGAAGAAACGUAUUGGGAGUAACUGCCCUUUACCUGACGGUACCCACAGAGGAAGUCCCGGCUAACUCCGUGCCAGCAGCCGCGGUAAUACGGGGGGGACAAGCGUUGUUCGGAUUCACUGGGCGUAAAGGGCGCGUAGGCGGACUUUCAAGUCGGGUGUGAAAUCUGGCGGCUCAACUGCCAGCCUGCACUCGAUACUGUUGGUCUUGAGUGCAUGAGAGGAAAGCGGAAUUCCAGGUGUAGCGGUGAAAUGCGUAGAUAUCUGGAAGAACACCAGUAGCGAAGGCGGCUUUCUGGCGUGUUACUGACGCUGAAGCGCGAAGGCUAGGGGAGCAAAC